CCGCGUUGCUGUGGCUCUGGCGUAGGCCGGUGGCUACAUCUCUGAUUCGACCCCUAGCCUGGGAACCUCCAUAUGCCGCGGGAGCGGCCCAAGAAAUAGCAAAAAGACAAAAAAAGAUAUAUAUAUUAUUCCUUGAGUCUCUGAAAUAAUGACCUCACAGACUUUAACAACUGACAUCACUAGUCAUAAAACACAAGAAUUUCAAAUUACCAGAAUAGCUGCUCACUUUCCUUCCAUGAAAGUAAUUUGUUCACUUGAAAGAAGAGUAACAUUUUGUAGUUUUGACCUACAGCAUAACAUUACAAAGAAAAAUAGAUCAGAUCAUACAAUGCAUUAAAUUAAUUAAAAAUAAAACGUUGGUUUCAUUUAAAUUAAUCAUAUAAAAAUUAAAAAUAAUCAUAUAAGCAUUCCUUGACACAAAAUCAGUUUUUUGAUCCAUUGUAACCCAUGCCAUUUCAUUUAUUCACUUAUUUCCUCUCUGAGUUCUUUAUUUAGUAAGUAGCCAAUAAUGCUCUCUACUGAACUAUUAAAAUAAGUGACACAGCAGUUAUCUCAAAUGGAAAAUUGUAAAAUUGUAUUUAACCUAAUCAAGACUAUAUAAAUACCUUGCUAUGUAAAAAAUAUCCUGUGAUGAACAAAAUGCAAGGCAUAUGAUUGGUGUACUGUGAUAUUAUUGAGGUUAUCAGUCAAGCCAGUUCUGAGAGUUUUGUCUUAUUGUAAGACCACUCAGCUGGAUCUCAGUAACCUCAAUACUUAUGCUCAUCCUUGAUCCAGGCAGGUUAACUAUGAACUAAUAAGCACACCUUACACCACACUAAUGCUCUUGACAAUUUACCACUUGCAUUCAGCUUAUAGUAGAAAUGGCGCAGGUGGACAUUUGACUUGAUUUUAGUAACUGGGUUUAUAAUGGCAACUUCAGAAGCGUCCCAGCAUCCUUCUGUUUAGAGUCAAACAUGAAGUGAUUAUUGCAGUGUGGCAGUUUUUAAUGCUGAUAUAUUUAUGCAGUAUGAUAGGAACAAUCAGUAGUUAACUGUGCACUUGGGUUAUAUCAUUUAAGAUUACUAAAGUAUGUGAAGUAUAUACAAUGUGAUAAUCCCAUCUGAUAGAAGAAGUCACAUUCAAUGUGAAUCCAUAUCUUCCUUGUCAAAGAAGAUAUGCAUUCAUAUCAAAACCAUAUGAUAAAAACCUCUACAAAACAACGGGAAACAACAAAAUGGCAAUAGGUACAUAGCUAUCAAUAAUUAAUUAUAAUGACCUAAAUGUUUCAAUCAAAAGAUAUUCUGCGAACAGAAACAAAGCUGAAGUAGCAAUACUUAUAUAAGACAAGAUAGACUUUAAAACAAAAGCUGUAACAAGAGAUGAAGAAGGGCAUUGUAAUGAUAAAGAAAUAAACCUAACAAGAUAUAAUAAUUGAAAAUAUCUAUGCAUUUGAAAUGGGCCCAUCUAAAUACAUAAAGCAAAUAUUAACAAACAAGCAAAUUGACAGUAACACAAUAAGUGCACAGGUCUUUAACACCACCAUUACCUCAAUGGACAGAUCAUCUAGACAGAAAAUCAAUAAGGAAAUACUGGGCUUAAAUUAAUCAUUAGAUCGGGUGCACUUAAUGGAUAUAUGUAGAAUAUUCCAUGCAAAAGCCACAGAUUACAUUCUUUUCAAACCACAUAGAACAUUCUCUGCAAUAGAUCCCAUGCUAGGCCACCAAAAAAGUCUCAAUAAAUUUAAGAAAGUUGAAGUUACAUUAAGUAUUUUUUUCCAACCACAAUGAUAGCAAUUACAAGGAAAAAGCCUGCAAAACCCACAAACACAUGGAGUCUAAACUAUAUGAUACUAAAUAGCCAAAGAGAUAAUAAAAAUAGACCUGGAGACAAAGGAAAAUGUAAACACGACACAACUUUCCAAAAUCUUAGCAACAAAAGCAGUUAUAAGUGGGAAGUUUGAAGUGACACAAGCCUACUUUAGGAAAUAAACAAAUAUUAAAGAGUAUAACUACACCUAAAGGAAUUAGAGAAAGAACAAACUUAAAAGUUAUUAAAAAUGAAAUAAGAAAGAGCAGAAAUAAAUAAAAUAGGGCCCAAAAAAGUAGAAAGUUCAAUGAAACAAAGAAUCAUCAAGAGAGCAGACCUGGAAUUCCUGCUGUGGUGCAGUGGGUUAAGAAUCUGACUGCAGUGGCUUGGGUCACUGUGGAAUUGCAGUUUCAGUCCUAAACGUGGUACGUUGGUUAGGGAUCCUGCAUUGCCACAGCUGUGGUAUAGGUCACAACUGAGUCUUGGAUUUGAUCUCUAGCCUAAGAACUUCCAUAUGCCAUGGCAUAGCCAUUGAAAAAAAGAGAGCAAACCCAAAUAAAACCAGUAAUAAAAAUGAAAAGUGGAGUUCCCGUCGUGGCGCAGUGGUUAACGAAUCCGACUAGGAACCAUGAGCUUGCGGGUUCGGUCCCUGCCCUUGCUCAGUGGGUUAACGAUCCGGCGUUGCCGUGAGCUGUGGUGUGGGUUGCAGACGCGGCUCGGAUCCCGCGUUGCUGUGGCUCUGGCCGGUCGCUACAGCUCCGAUUCAACCCCUAGCCUGGGAACCUCCAUAUGCCACAGGAGCGGCCCAAGAAAUAGCAACAACAACAACAACAAAAAAGAAGACAAAAGACAAAAAAUAAAAAAAAAAAA
RNAcentral lists this long non-coding RNA (2655 nucleotides) under Sus scrofa (pig). RNAcentral's name for it is "lncRNA (ENSSSCG00030013122.1)". The record is from RNAcentral. Lineage: Eukaryota; Metazoa; Chordata; Mammalia; Artiodactyla; Suidae.